RNAcentral lists this transfer RNA (73 nucleotides) under Octopus vulgaris (common octopus). It matches the Rfam family "tRNA". Rfam says of the family: Transfer RNA (tRNA) molecules are approximately 80 nucleotides in length. Their secondary structure includes four short double-helical elements and three loops (D, anti-codon, and T loops). RNAcentral also lists the same sequence under 1 other name. The record is from Rfam by way of RNAcentral. Lineage: Eukaryota; Metazoa; Mollusca; Cephalopoda; Octopoda; Octopodidae.
GCCUCCAUAGCUCAGAGGUUAGAGCACUGGUCUUGGAAACCAGGGGUCGUUAGUUCGAUUCUCACUGGGGGCU